UUAAGUUCAGCGGGUAGUCCCACCUGAUUCGAGGUCAAAAACAGAAGGCAAAACAGAUUCAGAAUCUGUCAAAGCCGAAUUAGAAGCAAUCCUAAGUGAGAGUUGGCCAUCUAGAAAGAUGUCACCCAAGCGGUCAAGAUUAUUAUCACGCUGAGCAGAACCAAUUCCACACCACAUGAGGAUCAGCUAAUGCUUUUAAG
RNAcentral lists this unclassified non-coding RNA (200 nucleotides) under Membranomyces sp. RNAcentral's name for it is "partial internal transcribed spacer 2". The record is from RNAcentral. Lineage: Eukaryota; Fungi; Basidiomycota; Agaricomycetes; Cantharellales; Hydnaceae.